UACGUAGGGGGCAAGCGUUAUCCGGAUUUACUGGGUGUAAAGGGAGCGUAGACGGCGAGGCAAGUCUGAAGUGAAAACCCGAGGCUUAACCACGGGACUGCUUUGGAAACUGUCAUGCUAGAGUGCAGGAGGGGUGAGUGGAAUUCCUAGUGUAGCGGUGAAAUGCAUAGAUAUUAGGAGGAACACCGGUGGCGAAGGCGGCUCACUGGACUGUAACUGACGUUGAGGCUCGAAAGCGUGGGGAGCAAAC
Molecule: ribosomal RNA, 250 nt
Filed under: uncultured prokaryote
Description: partial 16S ribosomal RNA
Rfam family: Bacterial small subunit ribosomal RNA
Source: RNAcentral